CUUUUCCCCACAAGUCAUGUGGCUUCCAGCCAGCAUACUUCAUAGAAGAGAAGUGGUGAGUCAUGCAUCCGUCCACGGUGUUUGGUCAGGGUGACUCUGGGAAGUACUAGGAUCCUCAGUGCUCUCAGCCCCGAAGGCCAAGGGAUGCCCUUGGUUGGAUUAGAUAAAGAACAUUCAAGGACACAGAGAUAUGGAAACAAUCAUUUUCUUCCCUAGAAGAGGGUGAUGCGAUAGAUUACGACGAGCAUUUGGCCCGGUGUCCCGGGGCCAGCUGAUUGAAGAGCUCAAAGGGCAAGAAACCAGUAAUGGAGAUGCCUGAAGCUCAAGAAAUGAGCAGUAAACACUCAGCACAUCAGAAUCAUGGGUGAUCUGAAAAUAACGUGACAAGAGAUGGUCCCUGCUCCGAAGGACUGCAGUUUUGCUGGAUAAAUAUGCUAUCUCUCACUCUUGGCAGUUCUUUCUGUGCUAGUAUUUGGGAAAAAAUAACUCUUGCUGCAUGAAACUAUAAAAGACAUUCUGUUAAGAGGAUGGAAAAAAAAAUGCUUCUGUUUUAGACAAAGCUUGUGAAGGUUUGAGGAUCAUCUAUCUGUUGGCCAAACUUAGUUUCCGUGGCUUAAAAAUAAAAUAAGAAAAAUAAAUACAGGUUUACUUGCCUUCUCAUCCUACUUAAAGGCACAUUUCCAAAGCUUUUCUUCUCCACCUGAAAACAGGAAUGGAGACCUAUUCAAAAGAGAUCCUAGAUAAGACCAGAGAUUCAGCAACCUGACAACGAAUCCUGUUCUUAGAAGUGGAUGCUCAUUUCCAGAAACUCUGAAUAUAGUCAUGCAUCACUUAAUGACAGGGACAUGUUCUGAGAAAUGUGUCAUUAGGAGAUUUUGUCAUUAUUCGAGCAUGAUAGAGUGUCCUUACACACACCUAGAUAGUAUAGCCUACUGCACACCUGGGCUACAUGGUAUUAAUCUUACGGAACCACUGAUACAUAUGUGGCCCAUCAUUGACUGAAAUGUCAUUGUGCAGCACCUGAGCAUACCAUGUAGCAUUGAAGAAACUACAAUUGCUGGUUUAGAUCUUG
RNAcentral lists this long non-coding RNA (1072 nucleotides) under Equus caballus (horse). RNAcentral describes it as "lncRNA (ENSECAG00000056920.1)". Lineage: Eukaryota; Metazoa; Chordata; Mammalia; Perissodactyla; Equidae. The record is from RNAcentral.